This is a long non-coding RNA of Saccostrea cuccullata (small rock oyster), 1024 nucleotides long. RefSeq lists it as uncharacterized. Lineage: Eukaryota; Metazoa; Mollusca; Bivalvia; Ostreida; Ostreidae. The transcript has 2 exons. The record is from RefSeq and is a predicted model, not a curated record.
AUAUUAUCACAGAUAAUUCAAUUUAUGCCGCUAUGAGAAAUAUAUUAUAUUUUACACCUAAGGAUAAUUCUGCAUAUCCCUGCGCAGUCUGCAGGAUAUGCGCCCUUAUCGCAGCGCAAUUAUCAUAGAACCUUUCAUUGCGAAAUCGCACCUCAUUUUGCUUGACAGAGUUAUCCAAUCAAAAUCCUUGAUUUUGUUGCGCCAUUUUUGUUAGCCUGGCAGUGUAUUGAAGAAAAAAAAAAUAACAUUCGUUUUUUUUUUAACUUAUGGGAAAUAUAUGUUGUGUCAUUGUGAUUUGAAUGCAUUUCAAUCUUCUGCAUUAUUCAGUAUGCAAAUCUGAGAAAAUAAAAUAAACAGAGUGCAAUAGAUUAUCUACACUUAAUGUGUCAAAGGGGUUAUCGCUCAAUUAACCUGUCCGCUGAUCUACACAUGUUUGUAUGGUUUUUUUUAAUGAAUCUGUGUUCAAGGUCAACUGGGUCACCACGGGAUGUCAGCUGCAGUAUCGUGGAUUGUACUCUGGCCUCACCAGGGGGUUCUCGGGGAGUCUCUCCUAUCCUCUCUGAUCCUGGCUUUGGAUGGAGUCCACCUGCAGUAAACUUCAUUCUCUGUCCAGCCUAUGAGGAAUGUUCUUUUGCAUGUGCAUUUUAUCAUCUUUUCAAAGAAAUAAGACCAGUACACUAUUUUAUGUUCUAUAUUAUUAUUUUUAUAUAGCCUUAAUUAAAUUAUGCUCAGCUCAGAGCUAUAUAAAAAGUUGUGUACUGCUCCUUACAAUACUUUGCAUAUCCAGUUAACAAUUUAAAGAAUGUUUAACACAGUUUCUCUAAUGAUGUGAAGAUAUCAAUGAAGUUGAUAAUCAUUUUUUGUAGCAUUAGAAACAGGGAACAUUUGGUAAUUGCCAUAUAUCUGAAGACAUGUUAAGUUUAUUUACUAGCUGCCUUACAUAUAAUUCUUAAGGGGCAUUAUUAUCCCUAUAAGGAAGACUCGGCAAUUUUAAAAUGUAUUUUUAUGUUCAGCAAAAUCCUUA